GGCGUAAAGAGCUCGUAGGUCGUUUGUUACGUCGGAUGUGAAAACCUGAGGCUCAACCUCAGGCCUGCAUUCGAUACGGGCAAACUAGAGUUUGGUAGGGGAGACUGGAAUUCCAGGUGUAGCGGUGGAAUGCGCAGAUAUCAGGAGGAACACCGGUGGCGAAGGCGGGUCUCUGGGCAGUAACUGACGCUGAGGAGCGAAAGCGUGGGGAGCGAACAGGAUUAGAUACCCUGGUAGUCCACGCCGUAAACGGUGGGUACUAGGUGUGGGUUUCCUUCCUUGGGAUCCGUGCCGUAGCUAACGCAUUAAGUACCCCGCCUGGGGAGUACGGCCGCAAGGCUAAAACUCAAAGAAAUUGACGGGGGCCCGCACAAGCGGCGGAGCAUGUGGAUUAAUUCGAUGCAACGCGAAGAACCUUACCUGGGUUUGACAUGCACAGGACGACGGCAGAGAUGUCGUUUCCCUUGUGGCCUGUGUGCAGGUGGUGCAUGGCUGUCGUCAGCUCGUGUCGUGAGAUGUUGGGUUAAGUCCCGCAACGAGCGCAACCCUUGUCUCAUGUUGCCAGCGGGUAAUGCCGGGGACUCGUGAGAGACUGCCGGGGUCAACUCGGAGGAAGGUGGGGAUGACGUCAAGUCAUCAUGCCCCUUAUGUCCAGGGCUUCACACAUGCUACAAUGGCCGGUACAAAGGGCUGCGAAGCCGUGAGGUGGAGCGAAUCCUUUAAAGCCGGUCUCAGUUCGGAUCGGGGUCUGCAACUCGACCCCCGUGAAGUUGGAGUCGCUAGUAAUCGCA
This 791-nucleotide ribosomal RNA is filed under the name uncultured bacterium. Its description in RNAcentral is "bacterial SSU rRNA". It matches the Rfam family "Bacterial small subunit ribosomal RNA", at positions 557 to 1346 of the family's 1533-position model. The record is from RNAcentral.